This 1478-nucleotide ribosomal RNA is filed under the name metagenome. RNAcentral describes it as "bacterial SSU rRNA". It matches the Rfam family "Bacterial small subunit ribosomal RNA". The record is from RNAcentral.
AGAGUUUGAUCCUGGCUCAGAACGAACGCUGCGGCAUGGAUUAGGCAUGCAAGUCGAACGGAGAACCGGAGCUUGCUCCGGGGAUCAGUGGCGAAAGGGUGAGUAACGCGUGAGUAACUUACCCCCAAGUUGGGAAUAACUCCUUGAAAGAGGGGCUAAUACCGAAUGUGGAUCAUAUUUCGCAUGUGAAAUGAUCUAAAGAUUUAUCGCUUGGGGAUGGGCUCGCGUCCCAUUAGUUAGUUGGUGGGGUAAUGGCCUACCAAAGCAACGAUGGGUAGCUGGUCUGAGAGGACGAUCAGCCACACUGGGACUGAGACACUGCCCAGACUCCUACGGGAGGCUGCAGUCGAGAAUCUUCCGCAAUGGGCGAAAGCCUGACGGAGCAAUGCCGCGUGCAGGAUGAAGGCCUUCGGGUUGUAAACUGCUGUCACCGGGGACGAAACAAUGACGGUACCCGGAGAGGAAGCCACGGCUAACUACGUGCCAGCAGCCGCGGUAAUACGUAGGUGGCGAGCGUUGUUCGGAUUUAUUGGGCGUAAAGGGUCCGCAGGGGGUCUGCUAAGUCUGAUGUGAAAUCUCAUGGCUCAACCAUGAAACUGCAUUGGAAACUGACAGACUAGAGUAUCGGAGAGGAAAGUGGAAUUCCAGGUGUAGCGGUGGAAUGCGUAUAUCUGGAGGAACACCAACAGCGAAGGCAGCUUUCUGGACGAUUACUGACCCUCAUGGACGAAAGCGUGGGUAGCAAACAGGAUUAGAUACCCUGGUAGUCCACGCUGUAAACGUUGUGUACUUGAUGUGGGGGGAUUUAGCCCCCUCCGUGUCGGAGCUAACGCGUUAAGUACACCGCCUGGGGACUACGGCCGCAAGGCUAAAACUCAAAGGAAUUGACGGGGACCCGCACAAGCGGUGGAGCAUGUGGCUCAAUUCGAGGCAACGCGAAGAACCUUACCUGGGUUUGAAAUAUAUCUGACGUCCGUUGAAAGGCGGAUUUCCUUCGGGACGGAUAUACAGGUGCUGCAUGGCUGUCGUCAGCUCGUGCCGUGAGGUGUUCGGUUAAGUCCGGCAACGAGCGCAACCCGUGUCGUUAGUUGCUACCAGGUAAUGCUGGGCACUCUAGCGAAACUGCCCGUGUUAAGCGGGAGGAAGGCGCGGAUGACGUCAAGUCCGUAUGGCCCUUAUGUCCAGGGCUGCACACGUGCUACAAUGGCCGGUACAAUGGGAAGCAAUACUGCGAAGUGGAGCAAAUCCUCAAAACCGUCCUUAGUUCGGAUUGGAGUCUGCAACUCGACUCCAUGAAGCCGGAAUCGCUAAUAAAGGCGUAUCGGCUACGACGCCUUGAAUACGUUCCCGGGUCUUGUACACACCGCCCGUCACAUCAUGGAAGCUGACUGCACCCGAAGUCGUUACCCAACCUGUUUUAAAUGGGAGGGAGACGCCGAAGGAGUGGUCAGUAACUGGGAUGAAGUCGUAACAAGGUA